RNAcentral lists this long non-coding RNA (338 nucleotides) under Pan troglodytes (chimpanzee). RNAcentral describes it as "long non-coding RNA NONPTRT017024". Lineage: Eukaryota; Metazoa; Chordata; Mammalia; Primates; Hominidae. The record is from RNAcentral.
CCUUGAGCCAACUGCCCUUUCCCCUUAUUUACGAGAAAGGGCCGUGAAUGGCCAGGUGGCUGCUGGGCUAUGACUGGCUGCUGUGAGAAUCGUCUGUGGGCUUCCGACACUCUCAUGCCCAUUACUCAUCUCUCUACUAUCUGCUGAGACCUCUCCUUUGCGAACACAGAAGGGGUCUUCUGACUCGGACCUGAGCUCAUCCAAAAGGGCCGGCCUCCUGCGUGAUGAGAACCUCAAACAUGAAGUCCACACUCAGCAGUCCUCCCAGAUCUUGAAGGUGACCUGACCCACCAACUGAGACUUCAGGUCAACAGGGCAACUUACCUUGUACAAUAAAC